AUCAAGAUCGAUGUUAGCCUAGCUGGAGAUCAAUCAGAUGUUUCAAUGGAAGGCAGACUGGCAUUUUGAAUAGAAAUCCAACGCUGGUAAAAGUGGCUUUAUUUUAGGAGAUCUUGUUGACAAGUCAACAAGAAAUCCUCGUCGACCUGUCCAAAACGUCAGGAAAUCGAGACAGAUCUCCUGCGUGAAUUGGAAUUUCCACUUCAACGUGGCUUUUUGUAUGCGAAAAAAUAGAAUCCAGUGUACGAAUGUGCCGAUCAAUUUUUCACUCCUCGCCUUGAUGUGAAUAGCAAAUGAUGGUUCUUGCCCCGCGUCGAGCCAACCAAGGAUAGGAUCCAGGAAUGGUCGCUUGGCGUUCGACAAGGGGACGUAACACGACCCCGUGAGUCCAAUAGUGGAUAGAAAUUGGCCCGAUUUGAGGACGAAGGUCUGACAUUGCUAAUGUCCCUACUCAACGAGUGAUCCCAAACUUUUUCAAAGCUCAUGAAUUUUAAAAUUUUAAAACCGAAAGAUCGGUCCUUAUGGGUCUCGAGGACGUCAAUUAGGACCCGUAAUUGCUAUUUGUACAACAUCAAGCGGGAUUGGGGCGGUAGUCUGGUUGGCACUACAAAAAGCGUGUGCUCUUUUGAGUUCUUCCAGGGCAGAUUUUGACAUCUUGGAUAAAUGGAGUCCAGGGGUCUCCUCUGUCUUCACAUUUCCAUUUUCCCCUCAGGGCUUCGAAACUCCAUAGAGACCUUAUUUUUGAACGCCGCUAAAUGUUCUGUCCAAGAAAUCUAUUCUUUGGCUUACUUUAACAAAAUCUGCCAAUCAAGGGUUUCCCGGCGGACAGCUCUAAGGGUAGGUUGAUAAAUUAUAAAUUGUUUCUGAACAAGUGAGAAAAAUGUUAAUUCCAGGUCCUUGCCAAUUAGCCUCCAUUACUUUUCUUGUUCUCCAUCUCUCUUCGCAUCGGAGGCCAAGCACAAUUUGGAGAGAAUCCAGGAUCUCAUUACUCUGACCAUUUGUUACGGGCUUCAAUCUCACAAAUGCCCAUUCACCUCCAAGGAUAAUGGUCUGCAACACCCAUUUUCAAGACGAGCAUCCUUCGGAGUCCAUCCCAAAGCUUGACAUGACUCUUCCGUCCGGAAUUCAGAUCCCAAAUUUUACGACCAACGUUGUUCGAUUGUUUCUUUUUUCGGUUGGGUGAAAAAAAGCGUUUUACGCGGCAAAUUUUCCCCUCAUUCAUUGUCUGGUAACGAGGUUUUGCGGUUCGUACAAUGGAUAUGUAUCGCAUUUCGGAUACGUUUGUUGUGUGCCUCCUUUUGCAUGAGGCGUGGAUUAAUGGGGGUAAUUUCGGAGGCUUACCAGGUUUCAUGUCAAUUUGGUGUGGAAUUCGCAGAGGACGUCAGGACAAGAUAUUGGGUGGCAUCAACGGACAUGCUACAAAUUGCCGUAAUUUACUUGAACUGAGCGGUUUUUUUCUUGUUCCUCCAACGUUCAACUAUAAAAAAGGAACCACCAACCAUUGCGUUAGCAACGUUGCCUUUAUCGUGUGUUCAAUUGCUCAUUUGACGAAAACUGGAACUUGUAUCUAUCUUGAUCUGGUUACAAACGGUAACCGAAGGAAGUUGUUCUUUACUCUAGCAAAAUUAGAAAUAUUUU
Tigriopus californicus is the source of this 1638-nucleotide long non-coding RNA. RefSeq lists it as uncharacterized. The record is from RefSeq and is a predicted model, not a curated record. The transcript has 3 exons. NCBI's taxonomy places the organism in Eukaryota, Metazoa, Arthropoda, Copepoda, Harpacticoida, Harpacticidae.